CUACGGGAGGCAGCAGUAGGGAAUCUUCCACAAUGGACGCAAGUCUGAUGGAGCAACGCCGCGUGAGUGAAGAAGGUUUUCGGAUCGUAAAGCUCUGUUGUUGGUGAAGAAGGAUAGAGGUAGUAACUGGCCUUUAUUUGACGGUAAUCAACCAGAAAGUCACGGCUAACUACGUGCCAGCAGCCGCGGUAAUA
This 194-nucleotide ribosomal RNA is filed under the name uncultured Lactobacillus sp. Its description in RNAcentral is "partial 16S ribosomal RNA". It matches the Rfam family "Bacterial small subunit ribosomal RNA", at positions 339 to 525 of the family's 1533-position model. The record is from RNAcentral. Lineage: Bacteria; Bacillati; Bacillota; Bacilli; Lactobacillales; Lactobacillaceae.